This 734-nucleotide long non-coding RNA is filed under the name Citrus sinensis (sweet orange). RNAcentral's name for it is "long non-coding RNA (CSIN_LNC000453)". The record is from RNAcentral. Lineage: Eukaryota; Viridiplantae; Streptophyta; Magnoliopsida; Sapindales; Rutaceae.
AGUUGACAUGUACAUGAUACUUCUUAUCAGACAAGGAAGUUGAAACUAGUUUGUACUUUACUAGUAUUAUAUCAUACAUAUUACUACUGAGCAGUAGCUUUCUUGGCUUUCUUAGCAGCAGAGGACUUGAUGGAUUUGGGCUGCUUUGGUUUGGCAGCAGCCGAUUUCUUUGCCUUCUUAGGCGGAGGAGGAGCGGCGGCGGCAGACUCUGCUUUGAUUUUAGCUGCAGCAGUUACGGACCUUGUUUUCCUUGGGGCCUUGGCCUUGGUCUUGAUCUCUUUUUUGGUUUUGCCAGCUGCCGCUUCAGAGAGCUUGUAAGAGGCCCUGAUCUUGAUGAGAUUUCCUUUCGCAGCGAAGUGCUUCAGCUGCACUGCCAAUAUUUUCCUGAAAUUCGCUGGGAGCUCAUCUUUGUGCUUCUCUUCCAUGUACUUGGCUAUUGCGUAUGGGCUUGAACCGCUCUUAUCUUGCAGCGCCAUCAGUGCCUCCGUUAUCAUCUGCACAAUUAAUUACAAUAAUAUCAAAAACUUCCUUCAAUGAACGUGACUUAUAAUUUAAUUUGAUUAAAUUGACAAACCUGAAAAUAAGGAGGAUGAGAGGGGGUUUUGGACUGCUUUGGCUUCUUCUCUUUAGGAGCCUUGGGCUUCUUGUCCUUAGCAGCCUUGGCCUUCUUCUCAGUGACGACCUUUUCCGGCUCCUCCGCAGCCGGCUGCUGCUCCGUCACAGCUUCACCUUCU